GAUAAACGCUGGCGGCGUGCCUAAUACAUGCAAGUCGAGCGAACGGACGAGAAGCUUGCUUCUCUGAUGUUAGCGGCGGACGGGUGAGUAACACGUGGAUAACCUACCUAUAAGACUGGGAUAACCUCGGGAAACCGGAGCUAAUACCGGAUAAUAUUUUGAACCGCAUGGUUCAAAAGUGAAAGACGGUCUUGCUGUCACUUAUAGAUGGAUCCGCGCUGCAUUAGCUAGUUGGUAAGGUAACGGCUUACCAAGGCAACGAUGCAUAGCCGACCUGAGAGGGUGAUCGGCCACACUGGAACUGAGACACGGUCCAGACUCCUACGGGAGGCAGCGGUAGGGAAUCUUCCGCAAUGGGCGAAAGCCUGACGGAGCAACGCCGCGUGAGUGAUGAAGGUCUUCGGAUCGUAAAACUCUGUUAUUAGGGAAGAACAUAUGUGUAAGUAACUGUGCACAUCUUGACGGUACCUAAUCAGAAAGCCACGGCUAACUACGCGCCAGCAGCCGCGGUAAUACGUAGGUGGCAAGCGUUAUCCGGAAUUAUUGGGCGUAAAGCGCGCGUAGGCGGUUUUUUAAGUCUGAUGUGAAAGCCCACGGCUCAACCGUGGAGGGUCAUUGGAAACUGGAAAACUUGAGUGCAGAAGAGGAAAGUGGAAUUCCAUGUGUAGCGGUGAAAUGCGCAGAGAUAUGGAGGAACACCAGUGGCGAAGGCGACUUUCUGGUCUGUAACUGACGCUGAUGUGCGAAAGCGUGGGGAUCAAACAGGAUUAGAUACCCUGGUAGUCCACGCCGUAAACGAUGAGUGCUAAGUGUUAGGGGGUUUCCGCCCCUUAGUGCUGCAGCUAACGCAUUAAGCACUCCGCCUGGGGAGUACGACCGCAAGGUUGAAACUCAAAGGAAUUGACGGGGACCCGCACAAGCGGUGGAGCAUGUGGUUUAAUUCGAAGCAACGCGAAGAACCUUACCAAAUCUUGACAUCCUUUGACAACUCUAGAGAUAGAGCCUUCCCCUUCGGGGGACAAAGUGACAGGUGGUGCAUGGUUGUCGUCAGCUCGUGUCGUGAGAUGUUGGGUUAAGUCCCGCAACGAGCGCAACCCUUAAGCUUAGUUGCCAUCAUUAAGUUGGGCACUCUAAGUUGACUGCCGGUGACAAACCGGAGGAAGGUGGGGAUGACGUCAAAUCAUCAUGCCCCUUAUGAUUUGGGCUACACACGUGCUACAAUGGACAAUACAAAGGGCAGCGAAACCGCGAGGUCAAGCAAAUCCCAUAAAGUUGUUCUCAGUUCGGAUUGUAGUCUGCAACUCGACUACAUGAAGCUGGAAUCACUAGUAAUCGUAGAUCAGCAUGCUACGGUGAAUACGUUCCCGGGUCU
Molecule: ribosomal RNA, 1372 nt
Filed under: uncultured bacterium
Lineage: Bacteria
Description: bacterial SSU rRNA
Rfam family: Bacterial small subunit ribosomal RNA
Source: RNAcentral